RNAcentral lists this non-coding RNA (24 nucleotides) under Arabidopsis thaliana (thale cress). The record is from RNAcentral. Lineage: Eukaryota; Viridiplantae; Streptophyta; Magnoliopsida; Brassicales; Brassicaceae.
AUUAUUGCGCCACUAUAUGCAUGC